Molecule: long non-coding RNA, 226 nt
Filed under: Nicotiana benthamiana
Lineage: Eukaryota; Viridiplantae; Streptophyta; Magnoliopsida; Solanales; Solanaceae
Description: long non-coding RNA (NBEN_LNC012860)
Source: RNAcentral
AAAAACCCUAGAUGCCCAAGAACUCUCAUCUACACAUGACCCUACACCGCCGCCGGACCACCCUAAGCCACCGACGUCCUUCUUCGUCUUCAACAGCCGCUGGACCAGCCCCCCACCACGAACCAGGCGACCCCAAUCGCUGCUUCUUCUUCAGCCUUCAUACCCAUGGCUUCUUCAUCUUCUCCAUGAGAUAUGGCAAUACGAAACCCUAAUAAACCCUACAAAG